AAGGCAGGAUGAAUUAUGAGAAGUUCCAGGUUUGCAGCACUUUCUUCAAUAAUUAGCCUAAGGUAGGGAGGAGGGAGAAAUUAACCUCACUAAACUCCCAUUUUACAUAACCCAAAUGUACAUUGCUAACACCUGGCUGAGUACAGAAAUUCAUCUUGAGGUGAUCCAGUUUAAAACCCAUUUGUAAAUUCAGUCUGAAGGCCUUCAAGUGAAAGGGAUGAAGGGCUAGAAAACACAAAGCGGGGAGCAGGCAGCCCCUCCACGUGGCAGCCCGGAUGGCUUGACAGGGCCUCUCCAGGGCUGAUGGAUGCAUCUCUGAGAUGGUCCACAGGUGCAAUUUCAUCAUCUAUCAGAAUGGGAGACCACACCAGAUCAGACUAGAUCACCUCUAUGAUCCAUUUUAACUUCAAAGUACUGUAAGUCUAUAAUUCUAAACAUACAAGAAGAAAGAACAAACAGAAAAGAUUCUUUAGGACAAAGUAGGAAGCUGAGAGCUCCAUGGACAUCUGGAAGAGAAUGUCAAUAAGCAAUUCUGACACAGAGUAAACUUAUUCAGACUGUC
Non-coding RNA from Equus caballus (horse), 562 nucleotides. The record is from RefSeq and is a predicted model, not a curated record. NCBI's taxonomy places the organism in Eukaryota, Metazoa, Chordata, Mammalia, Perissodactyla, Equidae.